This 427-nucleotide ribosomal RNA is filed under the name uncultured bacterium. RNAcentral describes it as "partial 16S ribosomal RNA". It matches the Rfam family "Bacterial small subunit ribosomal RNA", at positions 355 to 774 of the family's 1533-position model. The record is from RNAcentral.
UGGGGAAUAUUGCACAAUGGGCGCAAGCCUGAUGCAGCCAUGCCGCGUGUAUGAAGAAGGCCUUCGGGUUGUAAAGUACUUUCAGCGGGGAGGAAGGUGUUGUGGUUAAUAACCUCAGCAAUUGACGUUACCCGCAGAAGAAGCACCGGCUAACUCCGUGCCAGCAGCCGCGGUAAUACGGAGGGUGCAAGCGUUAAUCGGAAUUACUGGGCGUAAAGCGCACGCAGGCGGUCUGUCAAGUCGGAUGUGAAAUCCCCGGGCUCAACCUGGGAACUGCAUCCGAAACUGGCAGGCUUGAGUCUUGUAGAGGGGGGUAGAAUUUCAGGUGUAGCGGUGAAAUGCGUAGAGAUCUGGAGGAAUACCGGUGGCGAAGGCGGCCCCCUGGACAAAGACUGACGCUCAGGUGCGAAAGCGUGGGGAGCAAACA